This 639-nucleotide ribosomal RNA is filed under the name Mesoceration foggoi. Its description in RNAcentral is "partial large subunit ribosomal RNA". The stretch from base 245 to 405 matches the Rfam family "Bacterial large subunit ribosomal RNA", at positions 2473 to 2632 of the family's 2925-position model. Lineage: Eukaryota; Metazoa; Arthropoda; Insecta; Coleoptera; Hydraenidae. The record is from RNAcentral.
AAAUUUAUUAAAAUUUUAUUUUUAAGUUAAAAAGCUUAAAUUUAAUUAAAAGACGAGAAGACCCUAUAGAGUUUNAAUAAUUUUAUUUAAUUNNUUNUUNUUUUAGNAAAUNANNNUUUUAAUUNAAAUUAAUUAUUUUAUUGGGGUGAUAUAUAAAUUUGAUAAACUUUANUNAUUUNUUAAAACAUAUUUUUAUGAUUAAAUGAUCCAUUGUUAUAUGAUUAAAAGAUUUAAUUACCUUAGGGAUAACAGCGUAAUCUUUUUAAAGAGUUCUAAUCGAAAAAAAGGAUUGCGACCUCGAUGUUGGAUUAAAAUUAAUAAUUGGUGUAGAAGCUNAGNUUAAUUAGGUCUGUUCGACCUUUAAAAUUUUACAUGAUCUGAGUUUAAAUCGGUGUGAGCCAGGUUGGUUUCUAUCUUUAAUAUNAUUAAAUUAUUUUAGUACGAAAGGACCAAAUAGUUAUAAAAUUUAUNNUUUUANUNUUGAAUAUUAAUNNGUUAUUUUGGCAGAAUAGUGCAUUAAAUUUAGAAUUUNAAUUAUGUAANNNNGAUAUUUACAAGUAAUACUUGUUUUUNUAAAGAUUUAGUUUUAUCAUUAGUUAGUGGAUUAUUAUUAGUAAUUUGUGUUUUAGUGGGAGUUGC